RNAcentral lists this long non-coding RNA (314 nucleotides) under Trifolium pratense (red clover). Its description in RNAcentral is "long non-coding RNA (TPRA_LNC007957)". The record is from RNAcentral. Lineage: Eukaryota; Viridiplantae; Streptophyta; Magnoliopsida; Fabales; Fabaceae.
UUGCUUUUCAUGAAUAAAAAUAACUAUACCAAAUUUAUUUUGUAAAGUUUAAGUACAAUUUGGGGAUAUAACUGAUGUUUAUAGUAUGAGAAACAACUCAUGAAUCACAAAUUCCUCGCUUGUUCUAUUUUUGGCAUAACAUACACAAUUCAUUUACAAUGAGGUAUGAAUUAUCGAAUUUUCAUGCUAUAUCCAUCCAUAUCACAUCUCAUCAUAUCAUACAUGUAUAUACAAAAAAUAUAUAUAUAAACACAUAUAUUUAGAGAGAGAGAGAGAGAGAGAGAGAGAGAGAGAGAGAGAGAGAGAGAGAGCUA